This 716-nucleotide small RNA is filed under the name Pongo abelii (Sumatran orangutan). RNAcentral describes it as "retained intron". The record is from RNAcentral. Lineage: Eukaryota; Metazoa; Chordata; Mammalia; Primates; Hominidae.
UGGCCUGCAUUUCUAAGAAUCAGGGUUCAGAGCUUUCUGGAGUGAUAUCUUCAGCUUGUGAUAAAGAGUCAAAUAUGGAACAAAGAGUGAUCAUGAUUUCUAAAUCAGAAUAUUCUGUGCACUCAUCUUUGGCAUCCAAAGUUGAUGUUGAGCAGGUUGUUAUGUAUUGCAAGGAGAAGCUUAUUCGUGGGGAAUCAGAAUUUUCCUUUGAAGAACUGAGAGCCCAGAAAUACAAUCAACGGAGAAAGCAUGAGCAAUGGGUAAAUGAAGACAGACAUUAUAUGAAAAGGAAAGAAGCAAAUGCUUUUGAAGAACAGCUAUUAAAACAGAAAAUGGAUGAACUUCAUAAGAAGUUGCAUCAGGUGGUGGAGACAUCCCAUGAGGAUCUGCCCGCUUCCCAGGAAAGGUCUGAGGUACGUUGUGCUCUUCAUGACACGUCCUGUGCCCAGCAGCAGGAAUGGCAGUUUGAUUUGUUCCUUUCUAUGUGCUGUUUUAGAGUUAAUUCUGAUGUUAAUUUAGCUAGUAACUUUCUGAAAGUCUAAAAUAAUUUGACACAGAAGUUCACAAUGUAGAGUGAGAGUAGAAAGUUACAGAACAGAAUGGUAGUAUAUUUUACAUGUUUGUGUGUAUGUGUACAUAUCUAUAUAUUCAUGUAUUUAUAUAUAGACCUUUUUCUGGUUUUUGUACAGUGACUAUUGUGUAAUGAAAAUUGGAGU